Molecule: long non-coding RNA, 1083 nt
Organism: Prionailurus viverrinus (fishing cat)
Lineage: Eukaryota; Metazoa; Chordata; Mammalia; Carnivora; Felidae
Exons: 3
Source: RefSeq, a predicted model, not a curated record
UGACCUGAGCCGAAGUCGGACGCUUAACCAACUGAGCCAUCGAGGAGCCCCGUAGGUGUGUUUACUUCUUUAUUUUCUGUCUCCCAGCCAUCCCAGGAAGGCACACCUUUGUCUCCAGAUCCUAGCACAGGGCCUGGCACACAGAAGGUGCUGAAGUUUGUUGACUGGCUUGGUGGAGUGAGCCACAAGAACACCCAUCAUUUACCACGCACUUUAUACCUUUACAUUGUCACAUCCUCCUAGUGACCCCGGGAAGGGGGUACUGAGGCUUUGAAAGAUGAAACCGUUAGACUCAGGUCAUCAGGUGAGUCAAGUGUGGGAAUGGAACUCAAGGCUGCCUGAUCCGAAACAUACACAAGUACUCUUGGGAGGGAGGAGUGAGAAGGGUCCCACAAAUGUCCUAAAGAUAGGUGCGUGGGGCCCUGAAGGGAAUGAUGAGCUCCACUGGAAUGGGACAAACAUGAGGCAGGGGACCCAGGCCCGGGAAAUGUUCAGACCUGCUUAAAUUUAGGGGCGGCUCUGUGUGGAGGGAGUUCUUGAGGCCCAGAGAAGGCAAGGGACUUGGCCAAGUUUACAGCGCCGGUCAACAGCAGAGCCAGGACUCAAACCUAGGGCUCCCAAUGCCUCAUUGGGGGAAUUGGCGGGACAGGAGAGAGGCAGCCUGCAUAAGGAAGUUAUAUUUCAGGAAGCAGCGGAGCACAGCGGUGGUUUUCUGGCCUUAGAUUUUCCUGGCUGCAUCCUGCACCAACUAUGGGAAUUGGGAAAACUCUUCAACUUCUCUAUGUCUCAAUUGCCUCACUGUUAAACAGGGAUGCAAAUGAGCUGGCAUUUAGGAACCCCUUAGUGGGUUCUGGCCACGUGAAUCACAGCUGUGCAUCAUAGACCACACUUGGUACCAUGUGAACCUGACCUCCAAAUGAGGCAGUCAAGGGUGGCUGUUAUUGAGUUGUGCGAGUAUAUCUGCCACCAUGGUGUUUGCUGCCACUGAGGAAUGGCCAAACUAUUGCCAUGUCAGCAGUGCCACAGUGAGAGACAGAGCAUGAGCAGGGGAGGAGAGAGAAAGAGGGAGACACAGAAUCCGAA